UCCAGACUCCUACGGGAGGCAGCAGUGGGGAAUAUUGCACAAUGGGGGAAACCCUGAUGCAGCGACGCCGCGUGAGUGAAGAAGUAUUUCGGUAUGUAAAGCUCUAUCAGCAGGGAAGAAAAUGACGGUACCUGACUAAGAAGCCCCGGCUAACUACGUGCCAGCAGCCGCGGUAAUACGUAGGGGGCAAGCGUUAUCCGGAUUUACUGGGUGUAAAGGGGGCGCAGACGGCGAUGCAAGCCAGGAGUGAAAGCCCGGGGCCCAACCCCGGGACUGCUCUUGGAACUGUCAGGCUGGAGUGCCGGAGGGGUAAGCGGAAUUCCUGGUGUAGCGGUGAAAUGCGUAGAUAUCAGGAGGAACACCGGCGGCGAAGGCGGCUUACUGGACGGCAACUGACGUUGAGGCCCGAAAGCGUGGGGAGCGAACAGGAUUAGAUACCCCAGUAC
Molecule: ribosomal RNA, 446 nt
Filed under: uncultured bacterium
Lineage: Bacteria
Description: bacterial SSU rRNA
Rfam family: Bacterial small subunit ribosomal RNA
Source: RNAcentral